CGCGUAGGCGGCUUAACAAGUCACUUGUGAAAUCUCCGGGCUUAACUCGGAACGGCCAAGUGAAACUGUCAAGCUAGAGUGCAGAAGGGGCAAUCGGAAUUCUUGGUGUAGCGGUGAAAUGCGUAGAUAUCAAGAGGAACACCUGAGGUGAAGACGGGUUGCUGGGCUGACACUGACGCUGAGGCGCGAAAGCCAGGGAGCAAACG
RNAcentral lists this ribosomal RNA (206 nucleotides) under uncultured bacterium. RNAcentral's name for it is "partial 16S ribosomal RNA". It matches the Rfam family "Bacterial small subunit ribosomal RNA", at positions 568 to 774 of the family's 1533-position model. The record is from RNAcentral.